CCUACGGGGGGCAGCAGUGAGGAAUAUUGGUCAAUGGCCGAAAGCCUGAACCAGCCAUGCCGCGUGAAGGUCAGUGCCCUAUGGGCGUUAAACUUCUUUUGUGCGGGAACAAUAAUGGUCACGUGUGGCCAGACGAGAGUACCGUACGAAUAAGCAUCGGCUAACUCCGUGCCACCAGCCGCGGUAAGCCGGGGGAUGCAAGCGUUAUCCGGAUUUAUUGGGUUUAAAGGGUGCGGAGGCUGUGAGGUAAGUCAGCGGGGAAAUGCCCCCGCUCAACGGGGUGAAGUGCCAUUGAUACUGCCUUGCUGGAAUGCGGAUGCGGUGGGAGGAAUGUGUGGUGUAGCGGUGAAAUGCAUAGAUAUCACACAGAACACCGAUUGCGAAGGCAGCUCACGAAUCCGCGAUUGACGCUGAUGCACGAAAGCGUGGGUAUCAAACAGGAUUAGAUACCCUAGUAGUC
RNAcentral lists this ribosomal RNA (460 nucleotides) under uncultured bacterium. RNAcentral's name for it is "partial 16S ribosomal RNA". It matches the Rfam family "Bacterial small subunit ribosomal RNA", at positions 338 to 795 of the family's 1533-position model. The record is from RNAcentral.